ACCAGACUCCUACGGGAGGCAGCAGUGGGGGAUAUUGGACAAUGGGGGGAACCCUGAUCCAGCGACGCCGCGUGAGUGAAGAAGCAUUUCGGUAUGUAAAGCUCUAUCAGCAGGGAAGAAAGAAAUGACGGUACCUGACUAAGAAGCCCCGGCUAACUACGUGCCAGCAGCCGCGGUAAUACGUAGGGGGCAAGCGUUAUCCGGAUUUACUGGGUGUAAAGGGAGCGUAGACGGCAAUGCAAGUCUGGAGUGAAAGGCGGGGGCCCAACCCCCGGACUGCUCUGGAAACUGUACAGCUGGAGUGCAGGAGAGGUAAGUGGAAUUCCUAGUGUAGCGGUGAAAUGCGUAGAUAUUAGGAGGAACACCAGUGGCGAAGGCGGCUUACUGGACUGUAACUGACGUUGAGGCCCGAAAGCGUGGGGAGCAAACAGGAUUAGAUACCCCAGUA
This 448-nucleotide ribosomal RNA is filed under the name uncultured bacterium. RNAcentral describes it as "bacterial SSU rRNA". It matches the Rfam family "Bacterial small subunit ribosomal RNA", at positions 330 to 792 of the family's 1533-position model. The record is from RNAcentral.